GCUACCACCCACAAGGAAAUGGACAGGUAGAACGCUUCAACAGGACACUACUGUCUAUGUUGCGUUACAGAAAAGGCAGAUUGGAAAAAGUCACUUGAGAAAAUGAUUUACGCAUAUAAUUGUACCCGCAGUGAGGUAACAGGUUUCUCUCCUUUUUUCUUGUUUUUUGGCCGUUCUCCUCGACUGCCGAUUGAUCUGCUUUUCAACCUGCAGCCAACCAAAGGGAAAGAAAGUUAUGCUGAGUAUGUGGAGCACUGGAAAACUAGAAUGCGUCAAGCUUAUGAAACUGCCUCCAAAACAGCCAACAAAGAAGCCUCUAGGAAUAAGAAGGGAUCCAUGGAGCAGAUAUGCACCCGGGUGGACGAGUGCUUGUACGAAACCUUUCAGAAAGGGGAGGACCCGGUAAACUCCAAUCCUACUGGGAGAAUAGAGUUUAUGUGGUUGUCAGAAGAAAGAGCAAUGAGAGCCCUGUUUUUGAAGUGAGGCCUGAGGGAGGGGGGGAAAUGCGAAUACUACAUCGAAAUCUCCUCUUCCCUUGUGAUAGCUUGCCAUUGGAGAGCUCUGAGACAAACCUGAAACAAAAGACAGUUAGAGAAACAAAACCAAGAAAAGACAGAGAAACUGUGAAAGGGAUACAAAGUGAAAUGUCUGGUAGUGAGGAUUUCCAAGAUGGGGAUUUGGUGUUCCAGUUUCCUACUUGCACUGAUCAAUUCGGAAUGCCUGCUGAUCUCAACCCGGAAGCAAAGCCCUUUACACUGGUAGAGGAGCGAAAAGGGCAAAGAAAUAGGCAAGAAAUUGAGGAGACAGCUAAGGCUUUACCAGAGGAGGAAAGGGUGGUGGAUCCUGUAAUACCUGAGUACCAGUCAGAGUUUUCAGUUGAUCACGAAUCAGAAAAUGAUGAAAUGGACACACUAUACCUGAAUACUUAUCCAAGGAGAGAGCGGCACCAUCCAAAAAUCCUGACGUAUGGAUCUUUGGGUCAGCCAUCUGUGGUGGAACUUGGGGUGGAUAAACUGAAUGUGAAUAAUACUCCUGUAGCCUAGCGACUGUGGCGGCCAUGGACAAUGCUGUAGGUAAUCCAUUGUAAUUCCAUUCAUUAAAGAUCCUCGACAAGAACUUAAGUGAAAACGGGUAUGACAUUUAGUACAUGUAGCUUUGUCUAUGAAAGAAGUGAAAACAGAAUUGUUUGUAUUGAUUAUGUAAUGUGGAUAACCGAGAUGGUAGUAGACGAGAGAAUUGUUGGCCGAAAUUGAGUCUAUUACAAAAGAGUGUUACCAGUGUGACAAAUGUUUACUGAAGAAGUGUCAAGAUUUGUGUGACCAGGUACAAUGCAAACUAGGAUUUCCAUAACCUAUUGUAGAGAGUGAACUUUGAUAACUGAGAAAUUUUGAGUUAUUGAUUUCUUUCACAUAAAGGGUUGAGUAAUUAUACAGCAAUGUUAACAUCAAAAUGGUUGUAAACAUUUUAAUUUAGUAGGGGAGAGUGUAGCGCAAUGAUUAUUUAUGUAUUGCAUUUCUGUUAUGUGCUUUGGGUAAGGUGAAAACGUAUGGGUGAUGCAGCGGGAGCUUUAAAAAGAAUGUAGUCUCAAGAUACACCAGUAGAUGGCGGUAGAGUGGCGCGGGAUUGGAAAACGGAACUCGCGUGAAUUUCUGUGUAAAUAAGAGUUCCGUGAUAGCGAGUGCCGCUAUUGAAACUGUUAUUAUUAUUUUUCAGGUAAGCUGGUGUAUAUUGUAGGAUACGAAUGCACUAAUGUUCACGGGAACUGUGUGAUUCUUUGUAGAUUUAUAUUGGAAAACGGAACUCACGUGGAUUUCUGUGUGAAUAAGAGUUCCGUGAUAGCGAGUGCCGCUAUUGAAACUGUUAUUAUUUUUCAGAAUAAAUUCUUCGUACAUGUGUGACCUUCCCGAAAAAUCAUUCUUUCACGUCUGAGAAGUGUUACACAAUUCCAGCAGAUGUAGAGGGAUCCCUCUCUGUGCCCAGCACCCCAAGACUGAUUGCACUUGGAGAUUCUGUUUUCGUGCCAAAAAAUGGAUGCUGACAAUGGAGGGCAGAGUCAUCAUAGAGCCACAAGAGCUAACAGAUUUUCAAUGUGCGAUACCAGGAAGCGGCCACCAAUACACUGGACUUCAUUCAGAGGUUCAUUCUGAGAACACACCCUGAUAGCACCAAAUGCCAAUCAAAAUCACAUAUCAGCCAGACACAGAAGAAAAAUCACCAACCUGAAUCCUUGUGGCAUCUUUUAUCAACGAGCUUGUAGAGUAAUGAAAUAAAUCACUACUGACGAUAACACUACAAACAAAACAAACAUGUUUUUUUUGCUGUUUGAUUUGAGUUCUGUGACCUAUGCUGUCCAAACUGCAUACUGCGACAGUAUGUACUGAUUUAAAUUAAGUACCUACCUAUCUACCAGUAAAACAGUAUGUUCUAUAUAGUUUUUGUGGGAGAAGUAUUAUUACAUUUCGGACAUACUGCAUCAGGCAUGUUUAUUGUCAUAUGACCCGUAUGAUCUUUGACCUAUGACAUUUUAACAACAACCUGUAGAUAGGCAUUGGUAAAAACAUUAAGUGGUUUGUAUGUUUUGUACUCUGUUUCCUUCAUUUUUUUUGUCAGUUCUCAAUGCAUUGUUUUGUUGUUUUGUUCCCUGGUUUUUAGAUAUUUUUAGAUGAAAUUCUGUUUAAAAUAAAACUUUA
Molecule: long non-coding RNA, 2690 nt
Organism: Triplophysa rosa
Lineage: Eukaryota; Metazoa; Chordata; Actinopteri; Cypriniformes; Nemacheilidae
Exons: 3
Source: RefSeq, a predicted model, not a curated record